Molecule: ribosomal RNA, 253 nt
Filed under: uncultured bacterium
Lineage: Bacteria
Description: partial 16S ribosomal RNA
Rfam family: Bacterial small subunit ribosomal RNA
Source: RNAcentral
UACGUAGGGUCCGAGCGUUGUUCGGAAUUACUGGGCGUAAAGGGCUCGUAGGCGGCCAACUAAGUCGGACGUGAAAUCCCUCGGCUUAACCGGGGAACUGCGUCCGAUACUGGAUGGCUUGAGUUUGGGAGAGGGAUGCGGAAUUCCAGGUGUAGCGGUGAAAUGCGCAGAUAUCAGGAGGAACACCGAUGGCGAAGGCAGGUCUCUGGGCCACUACUGACGCUGAGAAGCGAAAGCAUGGGGAGCGAACAGG